GAUGAAGAACGUAGCGAAAUGCGAUAAGUAGUGUGAAUUGCAGAAUUCCGUGAAUCAUCGAAUCUUUGAACGCACAUUGCGCCUUCUGGUAUUCCGGAAGGCAUGCCUGUUCGAGAGUCAUUAACAACCGUUUCGAUCCCUUUCUUUCAGAAAUUACAAAGAGGAAAAGGGUUUGGUUAUGGUGGAGGAGGGAAAGGGAGCGUUUAGCCUGUAAAAAAAGAGGCUGUGUUCCGCCUCCCCCCCAAAAUUGUACAGGCGGUCGUGUGCGCCCACGCAUCGAGGUGUUGUAAAAGCUGCCACGGCACUUUUCACCUGUGCAGUGCGAGAUUGGCCAGCCGGUUUAAAAACCCCUCCAAACAAUCAAAGGUUGACCUCGGAUCAGGUAGGGAUACCCGCUGAACUUAAGCAUACCAAUAAGCGGAGG
Molecule: unclassified non-coding RNA, 424 nt
Filed under: soil metagenome
Description: partial contains 5.8S ribosomal RNA, internal transcribed spacer 2, and large subunit ribosomal RNA
Rfam family: 5.8S ribosomal RNA (bases 1-120)
Source: RNAcentral